AGCUUUGCACAGUGGCAGUAUCACAGCCAAUGAGGUUUAUCCGAGGUGCAAUUAUUGCUAAUUGAAAACUUUUCCCAAUACUCCACUGUGACAACUUGCAAAAUUUAGUCGGCAUUGGCAAUUUUUGACAGUCUCUAUGGAGA
This is a small nuclear RNA of Aotus nancymaae (Ma's night monkey), 143 nucleotides long. Its record names the gene U4. It matches the Rfam family "U4 spliceosomal RNA". From Rfam's summary of the family: U4 small nuclear RNA (U4 snRNA) is a component of the major U2-dependent spliceosome. The record is from Ensembl. NCBI's taxonomy places the organism in Eukaryota, Metazoa, Chordata, Mammalia, Primates, Aotidae.